Molecule: ribosomal RNA, 682 nt
Filed under: Cephaleuros virescens
Lineage: Eukaryota; Viridiplantae; Chlorophyta; Ulvophyceae; Trentepohliales; Trentepohliaceae
Description: bacterial SSU rRNA
Rfam family: Eukaryotic small subunit ribosomal RNA
Source: RNAcentral
GCUGAAACUUAAAGGAAUUGACGGAAGGGCACCACCAGCGCGUGGAGCCUGCGUGCUUAAUUUGACUCAUACACGGGGAAACUUACCAGGUCCAGACAUGGGUAGGAUUGACAGAGUGAUAGCUCUUUCUNUGAUUCUAUUCGGGUGGUGGUGCAUGGCGCGUUCUUAGUUGGUGGAGUUGGUCUUGUCACGGUUGUAAGGUUCCGGUAACGAACGAGACCUCAGCCUGCUAAAUAGUUGCCUACGUCGUUUCCACGCGCGGGACGUCAAACUUCUUAGAAGGGACUAUUAGCGAUUUUCAGCUAAUUGAAGUAUGAGGCAAUAACAGGUCUGUGAUGCCCUUAGAUGUUCUGGGCCGCACGCGCGCUACACUGACGCAAUCAACGAGCCUCCUGGUCCCGAGAGGACCGGGUAAUCUUGUAAACUGCGUCGUGAUGGGGCUAGAGCUUUGUAAUUAUUGCUCUUUAACGAGGAAUGCCUAGUAAGCGCGAGUCAUCAGCUCGCGUUGAUUACGUCCCUUGCCCUUUGUACACACCGCCCAUGUCGCUCCUUCCUGUAUUGGGAUGUGCUGUGUGAAGAGUUCGGGACUGGACCAUGGCUAGCAAUAGCCCCGGUUCGGGAAGUCCUUUGAACCCUCCUCGCACUAGAGGAAGGAGAAGUCGUAACAAGGUUUCCGUAGGUG